RNAcentral lists this ribosomal RNA (256 nucleotides) under uncultured bacterium. RNAcentral describes it as "partial 16S ribosomal RNA". It matches the Rfam family "Bacterial small subunit ribosomal RNA", at positions 524 to 776 of the family's 1533-position model. The record is from RNAcentral.
UACGUAGGGGGCAAGCGUUGUCCGGAAUCAUUGGGCGUAAAGAGCGUGUAGGCGGCUUGGUAAGUCCGCUGUGAAAGUCCAGGGCUCAACCCUGGAAUGCCGGUGGAAACUGUCAAGCUUGAGUCCGGAAGAGGCGAGUGGAAUUCCUGGUGUAGCGGUGAAAUGCGCAGAUAAUCAGGAAGAACACCCGUGGCUAAGGCGGCUCCUCGUAGUACGGUACUGACGCUGAGACGCGAAAGCGUGGGGAGCGAACAGG